AAUAGCACGAGCACUUUAAGCAAAACCCUAAAAACAACACGAAAACCAAGACAGGCUGCAAAACACUAAAGCAUAUCCGUUAAAC
RNAcentral lists this small RNA (85 nucleotides) under Arabidopsis thaliana (thale cress). Its description in RNAcentral is "ATSL157180". The record is from RNAcentral. Lineage: Eukaryota; Viridiplantae; Streptophyta; Magnoliopsida; Brassicales; Brassicaceae.